Myodes glareolus (Bank vole) is the source of this 2645-nucleotide non-coding RNA. The record is from RefSeq and is a predicted model, not a curated record. Lineage: Eukaryota; Metazoa; Chordata; Mammalia; Rodentia; Cricetidae.
UCCCGCGGCCGCUUGGGCGCCAGCACUCGGGUCGUGCCCGAGGGAUCCCGUGUCCUGCCCUGCCCCCCCCUUCGACUGAGACUGUGGCUCUCCGAGGCCAAAGCUGUCUGCGUAGUUCCCGGGGACCAGGGCCCCGUGCACCCCAGAAACAGAUGCCCAGCCCAGCGUUGGGGUAGUCGGCUGAGUAGAACAACGCACGGUCUCUCUAGUUGACAGAGAGGACCGUGCGGAGGAGAUGCCCUUAACCAAAGAGUGUGAGUCCCUUUUCUUUUUAAAGGAACAGAGACUCCGGUUCAGUUUUUCCGGCGCCGGGUCUUCGAAAUACUCUUUAUGCUAAUGAACGUAUUAGCAAUCCAGAUGACGGAUGCAGACGGGAUAGGCGGCUGGGACCCGACGGGGCACCAAUCCGGGAGCAAGGCUAAGGGGAGGUCGAAAUGUUUGCUUACCUUUUCACCUUGCAGGAAGUGGGGCUUUAACCCUGUUCACUGCAAUCCUAGUGGAACCAGCUAUGUAAACAUUUAAUGCUUAAGGUUGCAGGAGCUGGCGAGGCUCUGUUUGAUCCAGAGACGAUUUUACAGAUGGAGAAACUGAGUCCCCAGGUACAUCACAGGGAUGGACUUAGAUACCAGCCCUGGGUUCUGGUGGCUCCAUAAUGAUGUGACUUAAUGUGGUUAUUGCCCAAAUGUGAGGAACCGAGACCAAAGGUAACUUUCCUUGGGGUCUACUCUCAGAGAAGGUGAUGGAGAUCCAACACAGGACUUUACACUUGGCUGGGUGAGGGCUCUACUACCAACGUUUAUUCCUGACUCCUGCUUCACAUUUGCUGGGUGAGGGCUCUACUACCAACGUUUACUCCUGACUCCUGCUUCACACUUGCUGGGUGAGGGCUCUACUACCAACGUGUACUCCUAACUCCUGUUUCACACUUGUCAGGGUGUCUCACUGAGUCUGAAGCCGAUUCAACUUAAGAGUCUGGUCAGCAAGUCCCAGGGAUCAUCCUGCCUCUGUCUCCUCAGCACUGGGGGUUUCGGGAUGCACUGCCGUGCCUGGCUUCUAGUGUGAAUUGGGGAAAUUCACAACUCAAGUCUUCAAUGUUUCCAUAGCAAGCACCUUACUGCCUAAGCUCCCUGCUGCCUCCCAUCCCUCUGAGACAGGGUCUGCAUAUGUAUCUCUCUGGUUAUCUAGAACUUAAUAUUGUAGACCAGGCUGGCCUUCAACUCCUAGACAGUCCUCCUGCCUCUGCCUCCUGGGUGCUUAGAGUAUAGGCAUAUAUUAUCAUGCCUAACUUUUGUUUUGUGUUUUGGAGACAGGAUCUCGUGUAGCCCAGCCAACUCUCAACUCUUGCUACAUUGGCCUUGAACUCCUGAUACCUCCUGAGACGGAAUUUCUCAUCCUGUGUCACAUGUUCACGGUGACACAUGCUCAGGCUAUUUCCAUACCGUGGCUUGUUGUGAUUGGUGCUGCAGUGAGCACUUGAGUGCCGAUGUCUUCACUGAGUGAUGGCUUCAUUUUAUUUAUGUACGCACCAGCAGAGGAAUUGUGGAUUUUAUGUGUACAGGUUCUGUUCCCAGACCCUGUCUCUUCAAUGGAGAAAGCAGACUGUGACUCAUCCCUGUUCUCCGGGCCUCCCGAGGGGACUCUGGGAAGGCUGGGACUUCCAAGUAGCCCCUUCCACAGGCGUGCCAGUCCUGCCGAGUUGCAAGCCCGUCCCUAGCGAUGUCACUGAGCCAGCCACUUCUUCCACAUCAGCCGUCCCUGGCCAGUGCCCCUUGCAGCCCACUCCGUCCCUGAGAUGACCAUUGAUGAUACAGCCCUGAGAAUGGCUGUGCCUCAAGAGAGCAUAAAAGGGGGCAAUGGAAGUGAAGACUGGGGUGCAGCAGAAAGGACAUAAAUCACUUUGACCCUUCUGAAGUCACCUCCGGGCAACUAAAUGACAGCAACCCUCUAUUGAAAAAGACUUACACAGCCCAGCACUAAGUAUAAUGGAAGAAAAGCAUUCAAGGCUGAACACAACACUCCUGAGCCCUUCCUUACCUUGAACCUUAUUCCGAUUUCCUAUGGGACUGCUGGACCUUAGUAUUCCUAUCUGUAAAAUGGAAGCUGAAAGGCUGUUGUCUGUCUUUCUUUAGAUUUAUUUUUAUUGUUUUACGUGUAUGCACAUUUGUGCCAGUUUUCACAGCCCAAAAGAGAGCAUCUUAUCCCCUGGAGCUAGAGUUAUGGGCAGUUGUGAGCCGCCCAGUGUGGAUGCUGGGAACCAAUGGCUCUACUGUACGAGCAAUGUGCGCCCUUGAUGGCUGAGCCACCUCCCAAGUCCAGGCUUUUCAGUGUGUCAGAGAUGUCACAGGGUAAGGGGGAGGGAACUUAGAGAAACAGACAACAAAAGACUGCCGUGGACCAGUUGGGGCAUGCUUAGGGUCACCAAGCGUUUGCUGUUUGUCUGGAAUUCAGGUUUUACUGGGUGUUUUUAUUUUUUUCUUCUGACCCAACUCCAGGUCCACUUUGAGGGAUAGAGAAGACCUUGUUCCCUUGCCAGUCUCUGCUGACUGUAGAGACAAAAGCAGAGAAUUUCAGUGUGGGCUUAACGUCACCUAUAUAUGUAGCUUGUAAAACACCCAGAACCAGUUACUUUGUUUGUGUGGGAUUUU